GGUGGGAAGUGACUGAGUACGUCGCUGAUCUGAUGAUACAGCAAUGGUGUGAGUAGCCCUCAUGCUCCAUACAGGAUCUGGACUCUCUUUUCCUACCUGCUGCCACGUCCUCACCAAACGCGUGAAAUAGGCUGUUAUGCAAUUAUGUUUCUCAAGAUGUCACAUCUCGGAGGAAAGGAAGAACGCAAAUGAGACAUCAAGAACCCUUUGAGAAGUUGCACCUCAUAAGACAAGGCUGAGCCACAUCAGAUGUUUUUUUGUUGCUUCCUUUCUGAACUGCUGAAGAGAGUUGCAUCUCAACAAUCUGCUCCAUUACUUAUGUAUUGGCAGAUUCCUACUAUGACCAGGUUGCUGUAUGGAGGGAAUCAAAGUUCUGUGAGAAUCAUUGACAAAGGUAUUUGGUUUUAUGUACAGAAAAAAAAAGUAGCUGUGGGAAACCAGUGUCCGUGGAAGCAAACUGUGCACUCUGCGAGAACAGGGCACCUUGCUGUUCUGGCUCAGACAUGCUUUAGGCAGAUACUCUACAAGCUGCUGUUUGUAUUUCUAUCCACAUUUUUAUUCUGUGCCAUGGAAAAAGUAUCUGCAAUACCAAAUUCAAAUUCUUCUCAGCUCAAGAUCAUGCUAAAAUGUCAAGGGAUACCAGUUCAACUGUCAGUCCACAAGCAUGUAUAUCAGGACUGACAUUAAAUUCAAGACACAAGUGUUUAAAAACAACAUGUAACAACUGCAAGCACCAUCCAUCACAUUUUCUGAGACAGUCAGGUUAAAUGUUUUUAGGUAAAUUACUUAAGAGAAAUUGAAGUUUAUU
Long non-coding RNA from Dromaius novaehollandiae (emu), 808 nucleotides. RefSeq lists it as uncharacterized. The transcript is spliced from 3 exons. The record is from RefSeq and is a predicted model, not a curated record. NCBI's taxonomy places the organism in Eukaryota, Metazoa, Chordata, Aves, Casuariiformes, Dromaiidae.